GGGCACGGGCGUUAAUGGACAUGU
RNAcentral lists this non-coding RNA (24 nucleotides) under Arabidopsis thaliana (thale cress). The record is from RNAcentral. Lineage: Eukaryota; Viridiplantae; Streptophyta; Magnoliopsida; Brassicales; Brassicaceae.